Non-coding RNA from Capra hircus (goat), 524 nucleotides. NCBI's taxonomy places the organism in Eukaryota, Metazoa, Chordata, Mammalia, Artiodactyla, Bovidae. The record is from the annotation of a RefSeq genome assembly.
GUUCCCAGCUUCUGAGUGAGGAGCUUCUGUAACAUCCAGCUGGAGACUAACUUUGUUAGAUUUGGUGUUUCUAGGGAACGAGGACUGUUGGCAGAAUGUUUUCUGCCACUCACUCAGUUCUUGUCAUCCUCUUAAUACUUGGAGGGACCAAUGGUGACUCCGUGAACCAGACAGAAGGCCCAGUGACUGUCUCAGAGGGGGCUCUCAUGACCCUGAACUGCACUUACCAGACCACAUAUUCAGAUUCCUAUCUUUUUUGGUAUGUCCAGCAUCUCAACAAAGCUCCUCAACUUCUCCUGAAGGGCUCAACGACAAACCAGAGGCCAGAGCAUGAAGGUUUUCAGGCCACUCUUGUUCAGAGUGACAGCUCCUUCCACCUGCAGAAACGGGCCGUGCAAGCAUCAGACUCGGCUGUGUACUACUGUGCUCUGAGUGACACAGUGACGCAGGGCUGCGGGGGAGCUGAGCACAAACCCAAGGGGAGCAGGAGGCUGAAGUCAGGAAGAGCUAUAUUCUCUCCUUGA